Molecule: ribosomal RNA, 490 nt
Filed under: uncultured bacterium
Lineage: Bacteria
Description: partial 16S ribosomal RNA
Rfam family: Bacterial small subunit ribosomal RNA
Source: RNAcentral
AUUGAACGCUGGCGGCAUGCCUUACACAUGCAAGUCGAACGGCAGCAUGAUCUAGCUUGCUCGAUUGAUGGCGAGUGGCGAACGGGUGAGUAAUACAUCGGAACGUGCCCUGUAGUGGGGGAUAACUAGUCGAAAGAUUAGCUAAUACCGCAUACGACCUGAGGGUGAAAGUGGGGGACCGCAAGGCCGCAUGCUAUAGGAGCGGCCGAUGUCUGAUUAGCUAGUUGGUGAGGUAAAGGCUCACCAAGGCGACGAUCAGUAGCUGGUCUGAGAGGACGAUCAGCCACACUGGGACUGAGACACGGACCAGACUCCUACGGGAGGCAGCAGUGGGGAAUUUUGGACAAAGGGCGAAAGCCUGAUCCAGCAAUGCCGCGUGUGUGAAGAAGGCCUUCGGGUUGUAAAGCACUUUUGUCCGGAAAGAAAUGGCUCUGGUUAAUACCUGGGGUCGAUGACGGUACCGGAAGAAUAAGGACCGGCUAACUACGUG